Molecule: ribosomal RNA, 330 nt
Filed under: uncultured eukaryote
Lineage: Eukaryota
Description: partial 18S ribosomal RNA
Rfam family: Eukaryotic small subunit ribosomal RNA
Source: RNAcentral
CCCUUAGAUGUUCGGGGCCGCACGCGCGCUACACUGAAGGAAUCAGCACGUCUUUCUCCUUGUCCGAAAGGACUGGGUAACCCGCUGAACCUCCUUCGUGCUAGGGAUUGGGGCUUGUAAUUCUUCCCCAUGAACGAGGAAUUCCCAGUAAGCGCGAGUCAUAAGCUCGCGUUGAUUACGUCCCUGCCCUUUGUACACACCGCCCGUCGCUACUACCGAUUGGCUGGUUUAGUGAGAUCCUCGGAUUGGUCCCGGAGCGGCCUCUGGUCGUGCCGGAGUGCCGAAAAGAAUGUCGAACUUGAUCAUCUAGAGGAAGUAAAAGUCGUAACA